Molecule: ribosomal RNA, 499 nt
Filed under: uncultured bacterium
Lineage: Bacteria
Description: partial 16S ribosomal RNA
Rfam family: Bacterial small subunit ribosomal RNA
Source: RNAcentral
AUUGAACGCUGGCGGCAUGCCUUACACAUGCAAGUCGAACGGUAACAGGUCUUCGGAUGCUGACGAGUGGCGAACGGGUGAGUAAUACAUCGGAACGUGCCCAGUCGUGGGGGAUAACGAAGCGAAAGCUUUGCUAAUACCGCAUACGAUCUACGGAUGAAAGCGGGGGAUCGCAAGACCUCGCGCGAUUGGAGCGGCCGAUGGCAGAUUAGGUAGUUGGUGGGGUAAAGGCUUACCAAGCCUACGAUCUGUAGCUGGUCUGAGAGGACGACCAGCCACACGGGGACUGAGACAGGGCCCAGACUCCUACGGGAGGCAGCAGUGGGGAAUUUUGGACAAUGGGCGCAAGCCUGAUCCAGCAAUGCCGCGUGCAGGAUGAAGGCCUUCGGGUUGUAAACUGCUUUUGUACGGAACGAAAAGCUCUGGGUUAAUACCCUGGGGUCAUGACGGUACCGUAAGAAUAAGCACCGGCUAACUACGUGCCAGCAGCCGCAGUUAA